AACGAACGCUGGCGGCAGGCCUAACACAUGCAAGUCGAACGGAUCCUUCGGGAUUAGUGGCAGACGGGUGAGUAACGCGUGGGAACCUACCCAGUUUUUCGGAAUAACUCAGGGAAACUUGAGCUAAUACCGGAUACGCCCUUUGGGGGAAAGAUUUAUCGGAAUUGGAUGGGCCCGCGUUGGAUUAGCUAGUUGGUAGGGUAAUGGCCUACCAAGGCGACGAUCCAUAGCUGGUCUGAGAGGAUGAUCAGCCACACUGGGACUGAGACACGGCCCAGACUCCUACGGGAGGCAGCAGUGGGGAAUAUUGGACAAUGGGCGCAAGCCUGAUCCAGCCAUGCCGCGUGAGUGAUGAAGGCCCUAGGGUUGUAAAGCUAUUUCACCGGUGAAGAUAAUGACGGUAGCCGGAGAAGAAGCCCCGGCUAACUUC
Molecule: ribosomal RNA, 430 nt
Filed under: uncultured Alphaproteobacteria bacterium
Lineage: Bacteria; Pseudomonadati; Pseudomonadota; Alphaproteobacteria
Description: bacterial SSU rRNA
Rfam family: Bacterial small subunit ribosomal RNA
Source: RNAcentral